UGCCUUCUAAUAGGAGUCUCUAGACCACUAAUUAAAUGUAACCAUCAAUAUAGCAGAUUUAAGUCUCUCAUGCUAUUUGUUUCUAUUUGUACCAUUUAUUAGGGUUUUUGAAAGUAAAAAUGUUGGGGAUUUUCUUUUAGUUCCUUCAUCUCUUAUUUCAGCAGGCCGCAGAUUUCCUUCCACUGGAGGUGAAGUCAGGUGUGUGAGAAGCUCACUGCGGGGUCCUGGGUCACAUUUUUCGAAGUAUUUCCUAUUAGUACUUGGGAUAGUAAAAGUGUUUAUUUAUUUAUUUAUUUUUAAAAAGAGCUAUCUGUUAAAAUAAUUUGAGGAAAACAGUGGGUUAAAGAUAAUUUAGGCUGGGCCUGGUGGCUCACACCUGUAAUCCUAGCAUUUUGGGAGGUUGAGGCAGGAGGAUGACUUGAGGUCAGGAGUUCAAGAUCAGCCUGGGCAAUAUGGUGAAACGCUGUCUCUACCAAAACUACAAAAAAUUAGCUGGGCAUGGUGGCGGGCUACUCAGGAGGGUGAGGUGAGAGGAUUGCUUGAGCCUGGGAGGCGGAGGUUGCAAUAAGCCGAGUUUGCGCCACUGCACUCCAGCCUGAGUGACAGAGCCAGAGUCUGUCUCAAAACAAAUGAACAAACAAAAACAAACAAACAAACAGAUAGGUUAAAAAAUACCUUUGUUUUUGUGUGUAGGUUUGUUUUAAAUUCAGGACUCCUUGGAGGUUUUAACAUAUUCAUGUAUACUUCAGUAAAUUGCCCAACUUAUUUGACAAUAGAGUCACAUUUUUAAGGCACUCCUGGCACUCACGCUUAUGAAAUGUAUUUUAGGAAACUCUGCUUUACAGUUUUCUUGCAAGCAUUUGAUUCUCCUCUUACAGUAGAGUCCAGUCACAAAGGGUCUGAACAGGCUCUUUCCAGGGAGUCAUUCUUGGGACGAUGGGAGGCCAGCAGUGUGGAGGCCCAGGAUCUCCACGCAAAAGUUGCGAUUUCUGAUCUGAAGCCCAAAAAAGGAUAGGAAUGCAAGGUGCAGAGUGGCCUAGUUUAAGAGAAAGCACAUCAUAUUUAAUACUUAACAGCUAUUAAUUUAAGCUAGUCAGCUUCUUAUUUGAAAUAUUCCUUCAUGGUUUUCUUUUUUAAAAAAAUGUAUUACAAAAUAUCUUCCUAGUCACUAAACCAGUUGAAUUCUGGAAAGAGGGAGAAUAUUCCCAGCUUUUGUGUAAAAGACAAUGAAGACCUUAAAAUGAUUAAAACAAAAUUGUGUAAUGGCAGCCUGCAAGUGUGUUUUGUUUGCCUGAAAAGAGUUUCACAUUUAAAAAAUCAAUUACAAAGAAAAAUUACUGAUUGUCAAACAUUGAAGUAUGGAGAAAUUCGCUUAGAAAUUUGCAUUCCCGGAUUCUCUCUGCGGACACAUGUGGCAGGCCCUCUCCGAGCACAGCAGCAGCCUGUGGGCAGCACGGGUCCUGGGUGGACUGCACCCCUCCCCUGCCCCGCUCACUGGGCUGCUCCUGGACCCCUCUUGGCCCCGUAGGGCCUUGAGUGUGUGACUUCUGAACAACCAGGUUUUGUUGUUACCAUUGCUGUUCCCUUGAUGAGUCAAUAGCCACCAUGCCACGUCCUGUGUCAUCUGAGGCGCUGGUGUCAGCGGAAUGGACCCUGAGAGUUGCUGUCUUCACCAGAUGCAGCCUCUU
This 1688-nucleotide long non-coding RNA is filed under the name Homo sapiens (human). Its description in RNAcentral is "HSALNT0116805". The record is from RNAcentral. Lineage: Eukaryota; Metazoa; Chordata; Mammalia; Primates; Hominidae.